UGACUGAACAUCAAAGGAGAA
This 21-nucleotide non-coding RNA is filed under the name Caenorhabditis elegans. The record is from RNAcentral. Lineage: Eukaryota; Metazoa; Nematoda; Chromadorea; Rhabditida; Rhabditidae.